GGUUCGAUUAUGGCUCAGAUUGAACGCUGGCGGGAUGCUUUACACAUGCAAGUCGAACGGCAGCACGGACUUCGGUGCGAUGACAGUGGGGUGAUAAUGUAUCGAACCAUCACCUAAUGGCAGGGGAUAACUACGCGAAAGCGUAGCUAAUACCGCAUACCUAGGAAAGCGGGGGACCUUCGGGCCUCGCACUAUUAGAGCGGCCGAUAUCGGAUUAGCUAGUUGGUGGGGUAACGGCUCACCAAGGCGACGAUCCGUAGCCGGUUUGAGAGGACGACCAGCCACACUGGGGCUGAGGCAACUGGAGCUCUACGGGAGGCAGCAGUGGGGGGAAUUUUGGACAAUGGGGGAAACCCUGAUCCAGCCAUCCGCGUGUGCGAUGAAAUUUUCGGGUUGUAAGCACUUUUGGCAGGAAAGCAGCACGGAUAAUACCCCGUGCAACUGACGGUACCUGCAGAAUAAGCACCGGCUAACCGUGCCAGCAGCCGCGGUAAUACGUAGGGUGCAAGCGUUAAUCGGAAUUACUGGGCGUAAAGCGUGCGCAGGCGGUUCGGAAAGAAAGAUGUAGAAAUCCCAGAGCUUAACUGGGGCAUACGACUUUUAACUACCGAGCUAGAGUGUGUCAGAGGAGGUGGAAUUCCGCGUGUAGCAGUGAAAUGCGUAGAUAUGCGGAGGAACACCGAUGGCGAAGGCAACCUCCUGGGAUAACACUGACGCUCAUGCACGAAGCGUGGGGAGCAAACAGGAUUAGAUACCCUGGACAGUCCACUUCAACGAUGUCAACUAGCUGUUUGGGGCCUUCGGGCCUUGGUGGCGCAGCCUAAGCGUGAAGUUGACCGCCGCAAGUACGGUCGCAAGAUUAAACUCAAAGGAAUUGACGGGGACCCGCACAAGCGGUGGAUAGUGUGGACAAUUCGAUGCAACGCGAAAAACCUUACCUACCCUUGACAUGUCUGGAAUCCCGAAGAGAUUUAGAGUGCUCGCAAGAGGAGCCGGGAACUGGGUGCUGCAUGGCUGUCGUCCGGCUCGUGUCGUGAGAUGUUGGGUUAGUCCGCAACGAGCGCAACCCUUGUCAUUAGUUGCUACGAAAGGGCACUCUAAUGAGACUGCCGAUGCCGACUCGCAAACCAGGGAGGAAGGAUGGGAGUGACCGUCAAGUCCUCAUGAAAGCGCAUAUGGUGGGCUGCACGUCAUACAAUGGUCGGGACAGAGGGUCGCCAACCCGCGAGGAGCCAAUCCCAGAAACCCGAUCCGUAGUCCGGAUCGCAGUCUGCAACUCGGCUGCGUGAAGUCGGAAUCGCUAGUAAUCGCGGAUCAGCAUGUCGCGGUGGAAUACGUUCCCGGGUCUUGUACACACCGCCCGUCACACCAUGGGAGUGGGUUUACCAAGUAGUUAGCCUAACCGUAAGGGCGAUUACCACGGUAGGAUUCAUGACUGGGGUGAAGUCGUAACAAGGUAA
This 1460-nucleotide ribosomal RNA is filed under the name uncultured Bordetella sp. RNAcentral describes it as "partial 16S-23S ribosomal RNA intergenic spacer". It matches the Rfam family "Bacterial small subunit ribosomal RNA". The record is from RNAcentral. Lineage: Bacteria; Pseudomonadati; Pseudomonadota; Betaproteobacteria; Burkholderiales; Alcaligenaceae.